Molecule: ribosomal RNA, 607 nt
Filed under: uncultured bacterium
Lineage: Bacteria
Description: bacterial SSU rRNA
Rfam family: Bacterial small subunit ribosomal RNA
Source: RNAcentral
CAUAUCAUAGUGGCGCACGGGUGCGUGACACGUAUGCAACCUACCUUAUACUGAGGGAUAGCCUUUCGAAAGGGAGAUUAAUACCUCAUAACACAUUGAACUGGCAUCAGUUUAUUGUUAAAGAUUUAUUGGUAUAAGAUGGGCAUGCGUCCAAUUAGUUAGUUGGCGAGGUAACGGCUCACCAAGACGAUGAUUGGUAGGGGAACUGAGAGGUUAAUCCCCCACACUGGCACUGAGAUACGGGCCAGACUCCUACGGGAGGCAGCAGUAGGGAAUAUUGGGCAAUGGAGGCAACUCUGACCCAGCCAUGCCGCGUGCAGGAAGAAGGCGUUAUGCGUUGUAAACUGCUUUUAUAUAGGAAGAAAUAGACCUUGCGAGGUAAGUUGACGGUACUAUAUGAAUAAGCACCGGCUAACUCCGUGCCAGCAGCCGCGGUAAUACGGAGGGUGCAAGCGUUGUCCGGAUUUAUUGGGUUUAAAGGGUGCGUAGGCGGUUUAUUAAGUCAGUGGUGAAAGACGGUCGCUCAACGAUUGCAGUGCCAUUGAUACUGGUAGACUUGAGUGGGAUUGAGGUAGCUGGAAUGGAUAGUGUAGCGGUGAAAUGCAUA